Molecule: ribosomal RNA, 270 nt
Filed under: uncultured bacterium
Lineage: Bacteria
Description: partial 16S ribosomal RNA
Rfam family: Bacterial small subunit ribosomal RNA
Source: RNAcentral
UACGAAGGAUGCAAGCGUUAUCCGGAUUUAUUGGGUUUAAAGGGAGCGUAGGCGGUCUUAUAAGUCAGUGGUGAAAUCUCGUUGCUUAACAACGACCGUGCCAUUGAUACUGUAGGACUUGAGUACAGUUGCCGUUGGCGGAAUGUGUCAUGUAGCGGUGAAAUGCAUAGGAUAUGACACAGAACACCGAUUGCGAAGGCAGCUGACGAAACUGUAACUGACGCUGAGGCUCGAAAGCGUGGGGAUCAAACAGGGAUUAGACUACCCGUG